GACGAGGGGUCCUAGCGUUGUUCGGAAUUAUUGGGCGUAAAGAGCUCGUAGGCGGUCUGUCGCGUCUGCUGUGAAAAUCCAGGGCUCAACCCUGGACCUGCAGUGGGUACGGGCGGACUAGAGUGCGGUAGGGGAGAUCGGAAUUCCUGGUGUAGCGGUGAAAUGCGCAGAUAUCAGGAGGAACACCGAUGGCGAAGGCAGGUCUCUGGGCUGACACUGACGCUCAUGCACGAAAGCGUGGGGAGCAAACAGG
This 253-nucleotide ribosomal RNA is filed under the name uncultured bacterium. RNAcentral's name for it is "partial 16S ribosomal RNA". It matches the Rfam family "Bacterial small subunit ribosomal RNA", at positions 524 to 776 of the family's 1533-position model. The record is from RNAcentral.